GUAUAAGAGACAGCAGCAGCCGCGGUAAUACAGAGGGUGCGAGCGUUAAUCGGAUUUACUGGGCGUAAAGCGUGCGUAGGCGGCUUUUUAAGUCGGAUGUGAAAUCCCUGAGCUUAACUUAGGAAUUGCAUUCGAUACUGGGAAGCUAGAGUAUGGGAGAGGAUGGUAGAAUUCCAGGUGUAGCGGUGAAAUGCGUAGAGAUCUGGAGGAAUACCGAUGGCGAAGGCAGCCAUCUGGCCUAAUACUGACGCUGAGGUACGAAAGCAUGGGGAGCAAACAGGAUUAGAGACCCCGGUAGUCCCUGUCUCUUAUAA
This 314-nucleotide ribosomal RNA is filed under the name uncultured bacterium. Its description in RNAcentral is "partial 16S ribosomal RNA". It matches the Rfam family "Bacterial small subunit ribosomal RNA", at positions 495 to 809 of the family's 1533-position model. The record is from RNAcentral.